Perognathus longimembris pacificus (Pacific pocket mouse) is the source of this 590-nucleotide long non-coding RNA. RefSeq lists it as uncharacterized. The record is from RefSeq and is a predicted model, not a curated record. The transcript is spliced from 3 exons. NCBI's taxonomy places the organism in Eukaryota, Metazoa, Chordata, Mammalia, Rodentia, Heteromyidae.
GAUGGAAUUGUACGCUCCUAACACUUAAAGUUCACUACUGUGUUCUGUAAAAACUUCCUGAAUAUAGGUCAUUCCCUUUGUUAGCAGUUUAACACAGCUUAUAUAAUUUACCCAUUUAAAGUAUAUAAUUCAGAGCUUCUGAUGUUACAUUAUUAAUAAUGUAAAAAUGCACUAUUAAAAUAUAUAUUGCAUCAGGUAUAGAUCUAUAAUUUCAGCUCUCAGGUUACUGAGUUCAAGGUCAGCCUGGGCUACUUAGCUUGUCAGGACAAGGUCAGCCUGAGCUACAAAACAAAUUAAGGAACCCUAGAAGUUUUAAAUUUAUCACUCUAAGUGUAUGCCUUUUGGUGUGAGUGCAUUAGCUGUCUUCAGUGUUCAUCUCCAUCCCUUGUAUUUUAAAAACUUUUUCCUCGUGUCAAAAACUCUAACCACACCCCCUUUCCCUUGAAAACCUCUAACACAUCUCUGCGUCUAUGAAUUCGCCUAAUAGCUCAUGUGAGUGGAAUCAUGGAAUGUUUGUCUUCUUGGGCAUGGCUACUUUCACUGAACAUUUUUAAGGUUCGUCCAUGGUGUAUAAUGAAAUGUACUUGUUA